UACGAAGGGGGCUAGCGUUGUUCGGAUUUACUGGGCGUAAAGCGCACGUAGGCGGCCAACUAAGUCGGAUGUGAAAUCCCCAGGCUUAACCUGGGAACUGCAUCCGAUACUGGAUGGCUUGAAUCCGGGAGAGGGAUGCGGAAUUCCAGGUGUAGCGGUGAAAUGCGUAGAUAUCUGGAGGAACACCGGUGGCGAAGGCGGCAUCCUGGACCGGCAUUGACGCUGAGGAGCGAAAGCCAGGGGAGCAAAACGGGG
RNAcentral lists this ribosomal RNA (255 nucleotides) under uncultured bacterium. Its description in RNAcentral is "partial 16S ribosomal RNA". It matches the Rfam family "Bacterial small subunit ribosomal RNA", at positions 524 to 778 of the family's 1533-position model. The record is from RNAcentral.